UACGUAGGGAGCAAGCGUUGUCCGGAAUCAUUGGGCGUAAAGCGCGCGUAGGCGGCCCUGUAAGUCCGUUGCGAAAGUCAAAGGCUCAACCUUUGAAAGCCGGUGGAUACUGUGAGGCUAGAGUACGGAAGAGGCGAGUGGAAUUCCUGGUGUAGCGGUGAAAUGCGCAGAUAUCAGGAGGAACACCGAUGGCGAAGGCAGGUCUCUGGGCCACUACUGACGCUGAGAAGCGAAAGCAUGGGGAGCGAACAGG
Molecule: ribosomal RNA, 253 nt
Filed under: uncultured bacterium
Lineage: Bacteria
Description: partial 16S ribosomal RNA
Rfam family: Bacterial small subunit ribosomal RNA
Source: RNAcentral